CCGGGAAGAAAUCGUAUCAGCUAAUACCUGGUGCGGAUGACGGUACCGGCAUAAGAAGCACCGGCUAACUACGUGCCAGCAGCCGCGGUAAUACGUAGGGUGCGAGCGUUAAUCGGAAUUACUGGGCGUAAAGCGUGCGCAGGCGGUUUUGUAAGACAGGCGUGAAAUCCCCGGGCUCAACCUGGGAACUGCGUUUGUGACUGCAAGGCUAGAGUACGGCAGAGGGGGGUGGAAUUCCACGUGUAGCAGUGAAAUGCGUAGAGAUGUGGAGGAACACCAAUGGCGAAGGCAGCCCCCUGGGUCGAUACUGACGCUCAUGCACGAAAGCGUGGGUAGCAAACAGGAUUAGAUACCCUGGUAGUCCACGCCCUAAACGAUGGUCAACUAGGUGUUGGGUGGGUAAAACCAUUUAGUACCGGAGCUAACGCGUGAAGUUGACCGCCUGGGGAGUACGGCCGCAAGGUUAAAAACUCAAAGGAAUUGACGGGGC
RNAcentral lists this ribosomal RNA (490 nucleotides) under uncultured bacterium. RNAcentral describes it as "bacterial SSU rRNA". It matches the Rfam family "Bacterial small subunit ribosomal RNA", at positions 440 to 919 of the family's 1533-position model. The record is from RNAcentral.